UUAACUUGAGGACUGCCGACUCUAAU
This 26-nucleotide non-coding RNA is filed under the name Homo sapiens (human). Lineage: Eukaryota; Metazoa; Chordata; Mammalia; Primates; Hominidae. The record is from RNAcentral.